RNAcentral lists this ribosomal RNA (342 nucleotides) under Salmonella enterica. Its description in RNAcentral is "partial 16S ribosomal RNA". It matches the Rfam family "Bacterial small subunit ribosomal RNA", at positions 1 to 341 of the family's 1533-position model. RNAcentral also lists the same sequence under 1 other name. Lineage: Bacteria; Pseudomonadati; Pseudomonadota; Gammaproteobacteria; Enterobacterales; Enterobacteriaceae. The record is from RNAcentral.
AAAUUGAAGAGUUUGAUCAUGGCUCAGAUUGAACGCUGGCGGCAGGCCUAACACAUGCAAGUCGAACGGUAGCACAGAGAGCUUGCUCUCGGGUGACGAGUGGCGGACGGGUGAGUAAUGUCUGGGAAACUGCCUGAUGGAGGGGGAUAACUACUGGAAACGGUGGCUAAUACCGCAUAAUGUCGCAAGACCAAAGAGGGGGACCUUCGGGCCUCUUGCCAUCAGAUGUGCCCAGAUGGGAUUAGCUUGUUGGUGAGGUAACGGCUCACCAAGGCGACGAUCCCUAGCUGGUCUGAGAGGAUGACCAGCCACACUGGAACUGAGACACGGUCCAGACUCCUA